GGAAUCUGCCCAGUCGUGGGGGAUAACGUAGGGAAACUUACGCUAAUACCGCAUGCGCCCUUCGGGGGAAAGCCGGGGACCUUCGGGCCUGGCGCGAUUGGAUGAGCCCACGUCGGAUUAGCUAGUUGGCGGGGUAACGGCCCACCAAGGCGACGAUCCGUAGCUGGUCUGAGAGGAUGAUCAGCCACACUGGAACUGAGACACGGUCCAGACUCCUAC
RNAcentral lists this ribosomal RNA (219 nucleotides) under uncultured Thermomonas sp. RNAcentral describes it as "partial 16S ribosomal RNA". It matches the Rfam family "Bacterial small subunit ribosomal RNA", at positions 121 to 342 of the family's 1533-position model. The record is from RNAcentral. Lineage: Bacteria; Pseudomonadati; Pseudomonadota; Gammaproteobacteria; Lysobacterales; Lysobacteraceae.